UUUAUUUGAGAGUUUGAUCCUGGCUCAGGAUGAACGCUGGCGGCGUGCCUAACACAUGCAAGUUGAGCGAUUUACUUCGGUAAAGAGCGGCGGACGGGUGAGUAACGCGUGGGUAACCUACCCUGUACACACGGAUAACAUACCGAAAGGUAUGCUAAUACGGGAUAAUAUAUUUGAGAGGCAUCUCUUGAAUAUCAAAGGUGAGCCAGUACAGGAUGGACCCGCGUCUGAUUAGCUAGUUGGUAAGGUAACGGCUUACCAAGGCGACGAUCAGUAGCCGACCUGAGAGGGUGAUCGACCGCAUUGGAACUGAGACA
This 317-nucleotide ribosomal RNA is filed under the name Clostridioides difficile. Its description in RNAcentral is "bacterial SSU rRNA". It matches the Rfam family "Bacterial small subunit ribosomal RNA", at positions 1 to 326 of the family's 1533-position model. The record is from RNAcentral. Lineage: Bacteria; Bacillati; Bacillota; Clostridia; Peptostreptococcales; Peptostreptococcaceae.